Long non-coding RNA from Cyprinus carpio (common carp), 953 nucleotides. RefSeq lists it as uncharacterized. NCBI's taxonomy places the organism in Eukaryota, Metazoa, Chordata, Actinopteri, Cypriniformes, Cyprinidae. The transcript has 3 exons. The record is from RefSeq and is a predicted model, not a curated record.
UUGGUUUGUAAUUAUUAAUAAACUUACUGGCUUUCAUAACUGAAGGGAAAUAUUUGUAAUUUGUUUAUAUUUCAUAUUAAUUUUAUGUUAGAGAACAUUACAAUAUCUAACUUAUUGUCACUCUAAACAAUAUAGUAUGUGUGGAUAUUUUGCUUUAAAAAACACGUAAUUAAACAAUUUGCAUUAAGCUUAUUAUCGCGUUCAACACCAUAUAAGCAGAAGAGAGCGGGGUUUAAGAAUAUCACACACGUCAUUGGUUCUUUCGUGCAACGUCAACGCUCCGAAUUUGAAUUUGAGGAAGUGUGAAAGCAGUUUUUUAUUGUUGUUGUUGUUGCGCAAGUAUAAACUUGAUCUUCGGUUCUUCCUGGUUCACCCCUAUUUGAGAGAUCCUUCCUCAGCUGGGAAAUAGCCUUAAAUAUGAGGAAACCUCCAUUCAGAAGAUUGAUCCUGUUCAUCAUCAUGCAGCAGAUUUUGUUUUUAGUGUAAUCAUUUCCACUUCAUUGACAAUAAGUUAUUGGUGGCUUGCCAGUGAACCAGACACUAUCCAAGACUGAUCAUCCACUAUGAAGAACCUUCUAGUGGUGCUGACCUCCAGAUCCACCCUAUGAAGGUCGUUCAUAUAAGAAUAAGCCAUUAUCUAGUUUAUUUUUGUGUCAGUUCUUCAUCAUUACUGUGAAUCAGUGUUACAGUGGUGUUUAUAUCAAACAUUGUAAUUCAGAAGCUUUGGUGCCAUUAGACUUUAAAAACUUGUUCUAAAUUGUUGAAUCUGUCACAACUCUUGCAGUCAUCACUUUUGAAUUGAUUAACUACAUCAAUCACAUUUAGAAGAACCAGAACCUUAUACAGUAUACACUUUUAAAAAUAAAGAUUCCAGAAGUGAGGCAUUUGAAGCAAUGCCAUAUAAGGAACAAUUCUGAGUUCCAAAAAGAACCAUUUUUGUCUUAGUUUGUAGA